This 447-nucleotide ribosomal RNA is filed under the name uncultured bacterium. RNAcentral describes it as "bacterial SSU rRNA". It matches the Rfam family "Bacterial small subunit ribosomal RNA", at positions 329 to 792 of the family's 1533-position model. The record is from RNAcentral.
UGCCAGACUCCUACGGGAGGCAGCAGUCGGGAAUAUUGCGCAAUGGAGGAAACUCUGACGCAGUGACGCCGCGUAUAGGAAGAAGGUUUUCGGAUUGUAAACUAUUGUCCACAGGGAAGAUAAAAGACUGUACCUGUGAAGAAAGCUCCGGCUAACUACGUGCCAGCAGCCGCGGUAAUACGUAGGGAGCAAGCGUUAUCCGGAAUUAUUGGGUGUAAAGGGUGCGUAGACGGCGACGCAAGUCUGGAGUGAAAGCCCGGGGCCCAACCCCGGGACUGCUCUGGAAACUGCGUCGCUGGAGUACGGGAGGGGCAGGCGGAAUUCCUGGUGUAGCGGUGAAAUGCGUAGAUAUCAGGAGGAACACCGGCGGCGAAGGCGGCCUGCUGGACCGUGACUGACGUUGAGGCUCGAGAGCGUGGGGAGCAAACAGGAUUAGAUACCCCAGUA